GACGAACGCUGGCGGCGUGCUUAACACAUGCAAGUCGAACGGUGAAGCGCCUUCCUUUUUGGUGGGUGUGGAUGAGUGGCGAACGGGUGAGUAACACGUGAGUAACCUGCCCCCUUCUUCUGGAUAACCGCAUGAAAGUGUGGCUAAUACGGGAUAUUCUGGGUCUGUCGCAUGAUGGGUCUGGGAAAGAUAUUGUUUCGGUGGGGGAUGGGCUCGCGGCCUAUCAGCUUGUUGGUGGGGUGAUGGCCUACCAAGGCGGUGACGGGUAGCCGGCCUGAGGGGGUGGACGGUCACACUGGGACUGAGACACGGCCCAGACUCCUACGGGAGGCAGCAGUGGGGAAUAUUGCACAAUGGGCGCAAGCCUGAUGCAGCGACGCCGCGUGAGGGAUGGAGGCCUUCGGGUUGUGAACCUCUUUCGCCAGUGAAGCAGGCCUGCCUCGUUUGUGGGUGGGUUGACGGUAGCUGGAUAAGAAGCGUCGGCUAACUACGUG
Molecule: ribosomal RNA, 494 nt
Filed under: uncultured bacterium
Lineage: Bacteria
Description: partial 16S ribosomal RNA
Rfam family: Bacterial small subunit ribosomal RNA
Source: RNAcentral